Molecule: unclassified non-coding RNA, 2047 nt
Filed under: Leishmania donovani
Lineage: Eukaryota; Euglenozoa; Kinetoplastea; Trypanosomatida; Trypanosomatidae
Description: gene:unknown
Source: RNAcentral
CACGCGACCACUUCUCUUGCUCUACCUUCUCCAUCUUCCGAAGUUCGUUUUUGUUUCUUCCUUCAUCGGCGGAGCUACGUCAAGAGAGGUCAACGGACAAGGAUAGAGUGCAGCACAUCCACCACGACGGCACAGCGGCAAAGUAAAGAAAAAGCGUCACUCAUCUUCCGCCCACCGUCUGCCUUCUUCCCUCUCCUACCUACCAUCCCCCCCCCCAUUCCCCCUCUCACCAUUCCUCUCCACCCCUCCCUCCCCCAAACCCCCAAGGGGGAGGCCUUACCACCCACUGCCCCUCCUCACCAGCUAUUUCCUCGUUGUUGUGUGUUUUUUUUUUUUUGGUUUUGUUUUUGUUUGCGGCAUCGCACAUGGUGUGCGUAUGUUUGCGUGUGCUUUGUCCCAUUGAUUUGGCUCGUCCUUCCUUGGCUGCUCGUGUUACCCCUUGCUCUGCCCCCUCCCCCUCCCCUCCCACUUCCUUCCACUAUAUCUAUUGUGUGUGAUUGGCCUCCUCCCCCACCCCCUUCUCUUUUGUUUCUCUUGCCUCUGCGUACCGCGUGGUCUCCUUGCUUACGGAUACGACGUCGCACAUACCAGGGCACACACACACACACACGCACAGAGAGAGAGACGAUAUUUCCUUUGUUGCUGUUGCUUGUUGGUAUCUCGACUUGGUCGUUAUUUUGUUGUUGUUGCUGGGCGCGUGUUUUUGUCGCUUCAGUCUCUCGUCUCUCCCUCCGUGCGGUGUGUGUUUUGUCUUUCGACUGAAGCAUAUUCUCUUACGGGCUAUCGAUGCGUGCAUGUGCGCUCGUGUAUGUAUGCAUGCAUGCGAACACGAGCACACUCUUCUCUCUCUAGCUCUCUGUCCAUCUGGCGCGCGCGCGUUGUAAGCGAAUAAUGCGCGUGUGGCCUCUGCCAUCACACAUACACACACUCUCUCUCCACUCCUUUCUUUCACAUUCGCAAGCAGACUCGGGCCUUGUCCGAUAACUUAGAGAGCAACAAAUACGAAAUACAUAUAUGCGCGCACGCACAGAGGACGACGACGCACAGAAAGACACGCAGACUUGAGAGUUAGCAGAGCGGUAGGCAACAGCCAUCAGAACGUGUCUAGAGACGAGUCACUGAUUGCCUCGCACGCUUGCCUCCCUUCUCUUUCGCACACAUAUAUAUACAUAUAUAUAUAUAUUUCCUUUGCUUUACCGUGCGCGCGUGUUUCGUGUUGUUUGUGUGCAUCUCUCUGUCUCUCCCCAUUGUGUUGUUGGCCGCUCUGUAAGCGCCGCUCGUGACCAUUAGGUAGAAGCGAAACACACGCACGCGUCGUAGGUGUGCACGUGUGCAAGCGAGUACCUUUGUAUUUUUUGCUUGGCCGUGUUUUCAGGUUUCAAAAAGAUUGCCAGACAGCGUGUGCGAGCCGACUCAGCGCCACCGUUUACGCGUGUGCGUGGGUAUCGGAGGGCGGGUGAGGUGUGUGGCGCUUGACUCUCGCUGUUUUGCUGUCCCUCGUAUUAUUUAUCACCCCUUUCUUCUCACGACGUAUGCAAGCACAUAUAUGCAUAUGUCUUUAUCGUCGCAAGCAAACAUUCAGCAAAGUCACGUCGACGCGCACACGCAGACAUCGAAACGGAGGAGAGGAAGAAGAACACAAGGGGACGUCAACGCAUAGCCAAGUCUAUUACAUCGUAGAACGCGUUGUUCGCUUCUCUUCGCAUUCUAUCUUCCCCUCUCUCUCCAGUGCGUACACAUUAACACAGACACCGUGGCACAUACACACGCCCCAAAUACAGAGGUAUACGUGGAGGGGCGUGGCCAAUCCGUGUCUUCCUCUCCUCUACCAAUUCAUUCCAGACCUCAACGACCUCCUUUUCUUUAGCGUGUGUGUGUAUUGUGGGCCUAACUCGAUCUGAUUUCUUACCCGCUCCCUUCCUCUUCCUUUCGCACCAGCACUAACACCCCCCCCACCACCCUACCCAAACCUCUCUCACGCAGCACCGUGCGAGUUUCCUUGUUCUUCUUCAGCUGCUUGUGUGUGUGUGUUUGUGACGGUCGACAG